GCAAGUCGAACGAGAAAGCUCUCUUCGGAGAGUGAGUAGCGUGGCGCACGGGAGAGUAACGCGUGGAUUUUCUACCUUGGAGAUCGGGAUAACAGUUGGAAACGGCUGCUAAUACCGUAUACGUUGCAAUUUUAACGAUUGUGAGAAAGAUGGCCUCUACAUGUAAGCUAUCACUCUGAGAUGAGUCCGCGUUCCAUUAGCUUGUUGGUGGGGUAAUGGCCUACCAAGGCUGCGAUGGAUAGCUGGUCUGAGAGGAUGAAC
Molecule: ribosomal RNA, 261 nt
Filed under: uncultured bacterium
Lineage: Bacteria
Description: partial 16S ribosomal RNA
Rfam family: Bacterial small subunit ribosomal RNA
Source: RNAcentral